UACGUAGGGGGCAAGCGUUGUCCGGAUUUAUUGGGCGUAAAGAGCGUGUAGGCGGCUUGGUAGGUCCGCUGUGAAAACUCGAGGCUCAACCUCGAGAUGUCGGCGGAAACCACUUGGCUAGAGUCCGGAAGGGGCAACUGGAAUUCUUGGUGUAGCGGUGAAAUGCGUAGAUAUCAAGAGGAACACCUGCGGCGAAGGCGGGUUGCUGGGCCGACACUGACGCUGAGGCGCGAAAGCCAGGGGAGCGAACGGG
This 253-nucleotide ribosomal RNA is filed under the name uncultured bacterium. Its description in RNAcentral is "partial 16S ribosomal RNA". It matches the Rfam family "Bacterial small subunit ribosomal RNA", at positions 524 to 776 of the family's 1533-position model. The record is from RNAcentral.